AGUGAACGCUGGCGGUAGGCCUAACACAUGCAAGUCGAACGGCAGCACAGUAAGAGCUUGCUCUUACGGGUGGCGAGUGGCGGACGGGUGAGGAAUACAUCGGAAUCUACUUUUUCGUGGGGGUUAAGGAAGGGAAACUUACGCUAAUACCGCAUACGACCUACGGUUGAAAGCAGGGGAUCUUCGGACCUUGCGGGAUUGAAUGAGCGGAUGUCGGAUUAGCUAGUUGGCGGGGUAAAGGCCCACCAAGGCGACGAUCCGUAGCUGGUCUGAGAGGAUGAUCAGCCACACUGGAACUGAGACACGGUCCAGACUCCUACGGGAGGCAGCAGUGGGGAAUAUUGGACAAUGGGCGCAAGCCUGAUCCAGCCAUACCGCGUGGGUGAAGAAGGCCUUCGGGUUGUAAAGCCCUUUUGUUGGGAAAGAAAAGCAGCAGGUUAAUACCCCGCUGUUCUGACGGUACCCAAAGAAUAAGCACCGGCUAACUUCGUG
RNAcentral lists this ribosomal RNA (492 nucleotides) under uncultured bacterium. Its description in RNAcentral is "partial 16S ribosomal RNA". It matches the Rfam family "Bacterial small subunit ribosomal RNA", at positions 29 to 507 of the family's 1533-position model. The record is from RNAcentral.